This 381-nucleotide ribosomal RNA is filed under the name uncultured Sphingobacteriales bacterium. Its description in RNAcentral is "bacterial SSU rRNA". It matches the Rfam family "Bacterial small subunit ribosomal RNA", at positions 1000 to 1382 of the family's 1533-position model. The record is from RNAcentral. Lineage: Bacteria; Pseudomonadati; Bacteroidota; Sphingobacteriia; Sphingobacteriales.
GGUGAAAGCUUACAUCUCUUCGGAGCAUUUUACGAGGUGCUGCAUGGUUGUCGUCAGCUCGUGCCGUGAGGUGUCGGGUUAAGUCCCAUAACGAGCGCAACCCCUACCUUUAGUUGCCAUCAGGUUAAGCUGGGGACUCUAAAGGAACUGCCUACGCAAGUAGUGAGGAAGGCGGGGAUGACGUCAAAUCAGCACGGCCCUUACGUCCAGGGCUACACACGUGCUACAAUGGCCGAUACAGAGGGCAGCUACCUGGUGACAGGAUGCAAAUCUCCAAAGUCGGUCUCAGUUCGGAUCGGAGUCUGCAACCCGACUCCGUGAAGUUGGAUUCGCUAGUAAUCGCGCAUCAGCCAUGGCGCGGUGAAUACGUUCCCGGGCCUU